UACGAAGGGGGCUAGCGUUGCUCGGAAUUACUGGGCGUAAAGGGAGCGUAGGCGGAUAGUUUAGUCAGAGGUGAAAGCCCAGGGCUCAACCUUGGGAUUGCCUUUGAUACUGGCUAUCUUGAGUACGGAAGAGGUAUGUGGAACUCCGAGUGUAGAGGUGAAAUUCGUAGAUAUUCGGAAGAACACCAGUGGCGAAGGCGACAUACUGGUCCGUUACUGACGCUGAGGCUCGAAAGCGUGGGGAGCAAACAGG
RNAcentral lists this ribosomal RNA (253 nucleotides) under uncultured bacterium. RNAcentral describes it as "partial 16S ribosomal RNA". It matches the Rfam family "Bacterial small subunit ribosomal RNA", at positions 524 to 776 of the family's 1533-position model. The record is from RNAcentral.